GUUACAUCAAUGUUUACAAGAUCGCAGAAGUUGUAAUAACUAAGUCAAUUUUUUUCUAUUUCUUUAGUCUUUUUCUUUCAUUUGUUGUUUCGCACAAUUAAAAUUGCGCUCUAAUAUUGACCUAUUUUUACCCAUCCUUCUAUGGAUUGAGAUAAACCAUAUUAGAAUGGUCGGGUUCCUGACCAGCUUUGCGAUCAGUAUGGAAUUGUAUUGUCUAGCGAUGGCGAUUGUGUGACAAUCAACAAUUAAUUUAAUUAUUCAAUUCUGAGCAAAUUUAGCACUCAGCCCAUUUGGACUUUAAUGAAUCAUUACUUUCACCAAUUGGACUCCAAUGCGUGCCACCUAAUUUCAUUGCAAAGAAAUGGCCAUAUCGGAAUAAUGAAUGCAUAUGCUAAAUUAAAAAAAAAAUUAAAUAAUAAUUUGCGAGCUUAUGCUCAAGAAGAACAUUAAUUGCUGAAUUUGUGGUUUAAAACAUUGUUUGGCAACUAAAAGUUAACAGAUAAAUAUUUAUAUUUAUAUUUAUUCACUGAGCAUAUUAAUGGAAAGCUAUUGAAUUAUAUUGCUGAAAUUCCUUAU
Molecule: non-coding RNA, 576 nt
Organism: Schizosaccharomyces pombe (fission yeast)
Lineage: Eukaryota; Fungi; Ascomycota; Schizosaccharomycetes; Schizosaccharomycetales; Schizosaccharomycetaceae
Source: the annotation of a GenBank genome assembly